UUUCAGACAGGGGGCCGGGUGCGGGUAGGGGUGCGGUGUAAUGACUGAGCCACGCAUUUGGGGUGGGUAAGGUGAGCGGCCCUGGCUCCAGAGAGGCCCACUACCUUUAGGAGUGCCAGAUGAGGAAAGGGCGUUCUUGGCAGGAUUUAAAAACAGAGGGCCAUUGAGUUGAACGCCCGAGAGUAACCUCGAGUGCAGAUGGACCUGUUGCCCAGCCCGCCUAGUGCUGCUAAAUCCACCGGCUCAAGGCCUCACUCGACCUGGGCUUUGCAAACUCCAGCCCGUUCUCCUUCCACCAAUCCCCGACGCUGGUCUCCAAGAAGGCCGACCCGAGCUUAGGAUAAAGACAUUGGCGUUCAUGGAGAUAAGUCUGGCCCUUCCAUCUGCCCAUCAUCGAUCGAGUCUUGGAACACAAACCCCAGACCUUGAAAGCAGCCCUCUUGGCCUGCUCCCAUCAAGCCUCCUGGAACCCUCUCUGAAAGGCCAGCAAGUCCAGCCGUGCCUUCUCAGACCUCUUCAAGGCAUCCAUCCACCCACCCGACGUCCUGAAGUGCCGUGCUUUCGGAUUCUCUGACAAUGCACAGUCCCCAGUCUGCUGCUGGACCACCCUCUUCCUGCCUCCUCCACUUGUUUCUUUUCCUCCGCCUCCUCCCCUCCAAAUGCUCUGGGCCCUUGGCUCACUCCGUGUUUUCUCCGUAAGGGAGAUGACUGCAUCUGGGAUGAUGCAGCUCAAGUGGACAUCCACAGCCCUUUCCCAGGGCCAGAGUACAUUUCCAGUCAGCUCUUGCACAUGCAAAACGGAGCCUCCUGCUAGCAGCUCAAAAACAGCACAGCCUUCUCGGGGCAAGGAGAGGUCGCACCAGAUGUGCUCUCGGACCUAUCCAGGUCUAACCCUCACUGUUUCUGGCCCCAAACCGACAUCAUCAUCAUCCCUUCCAAAAAUCGGCCCUUCCUUUUAACUCCUUCAUUUCUAUCCCUGGUACCACUGCUCCUCCUGUGACUUGGUCUCAGAAUUCCAGAAUGUCUUUUGCUGCUUCUCAUCUCCCGCCUCCCACCCUUGAAAAACAACUGUCAUAUUCAGCAGAUUGUACCCCCAAUGGUGUUUUCUUCUGCCUCCGCUGCCGCCUGCACUGGCCGAGGCUCCCUGACAGCCAGUGGUUGCACCCACUGCUGCUGGGUUAUCUUACUGAGGCCAGAGCUCACUGCCCCCAAAUUUUCAAUGGUUCCUUGUGGCCUAGAGACUCAGUAGGGAUGGAGAAGGAAGGAAAACGCACUGGAGGAGAGCCGGAAGCAGCGGUACCGUUUCUGCCCCUCCCUGCUGGCUCCUAAAGGCCCCUUGGGGAAAGAGCCCUGGAAUAGAAAUACAAAGACAUAAACUCUAGUCCUGGCUCUGUAGCCACCCAGCUUUGAAAUCAGUUUCAUGUCCCAUCAAAUCAGAUGGUUAGAUUAGAUGCUAAGUUGCGGCCAGCUCCAACAUCAUAAAUAUGUGUGGAUGUCACAUCUAUAGAUAGGUGUGAGUAUCAUUUAACUUACAUCAUACCAAUUUUAAAAGUGCUUUUCCCACCAGUUAUUUCAAAUGACUGUCACAGCAGCCCUUUGAGGCAAACAGGAUGUGUAUGUGUCGCUUUUUUUUUUUUUUGAGACGGAGUUUCGCUCUUGUUACCCAGGCUGGAGUGCAAUGGCGCGACCUCGGCUCACCGCAACCUCCGCCUCCUGGGUUCAGGCAAUUCUCCUGCCUCAGCCUCCUGAGUAGCUGGGAUUACAGGCACGAGCCACCAUGCCCAGCUAAGUUUUUGAAUUUUUAGUAGAGAUCGGGUUUCACCAUAUUGACCAGGAUGGUCUCGAUCUCUUGACCUCGUGAUCCACCUGCCUCGGCCUCCCAAAGUGCUGGGAUUACAGGCUUGAGCCACCGCACCUGGCCAUGUAUCGCUUUUUUACAAAUGGGGAAACGGAGCAUCCAAAGGGUUAAAUGAGUAGCCAGAAGUAACAGAGUAUACUUUGGAAUCAGACCUAAAAAGUCAAACUCCAAUGACUUAACUUUGCAGAGCUUCAAUUUCCCUGUUGUAAAAUGAGGCUCCUCAAGUAGUGCCCACUUCUGCUAUGUUGCCUCCUUUGGGUCACACCACGUUUGGGCUCCAGCAGGGAGAGUCAGCCGUGCCAAAAAUCGAAGGCUGGGAGGUGGGGGCUGGAUGCUAGCUUGCUAAGACCCUGAGAGGGUCUCUCGACCUGAGACCCUCAACCCAAGAGGGUCUCUCAACACUACCUCAAGCAAAUUAUGGCCUCCUAAUGCUGUGUCUCUCGGCAAACACUCAGGUGAGAGGAGGGGACCCAGAUACAGCAAAGGGGGAUCACAGCGGGACCCCCCAGGAUCUGGACUCUGAGACCCUUUGGAGCUCUUUGACCCAGUAAGCCUCACCCUCAAAUACUCAAUUUUGCUUGUGGUGUUGGAUCAGGUCUUAUCAUGCAUAUUUGUCUUGGCUGUUAUUUCACUAAGGCCCUGACCUCAGCUCUGAGAGGACAGAUGUUUUCAGAGUCAAGUUGGCGUAUGGCCAACUUUAAGAGGCUGGGGAGGGGCAGAGGAGGCACUACCAAGGCAAGAGAGCCUGUGGAAGCCACGGGGCAGCAGUGAAGCAGAGGAGGAAUACGGUUGAGGUGCUGGCCGGGCAGGAGACCUCAGAAAUACACAGUCGGAGGCACGGGCCAAGAGGUCACAGGGUAGGAGUGCUCUACCUUGGGGCAGAGAGCAGCCUGGUAACUCUCUGGCUUGACCUUAAGUCAAGGAAACUAAAGCCCAGAGAUUGGCUUAUCCAAAGUCACACAGUGGGAAAUCUGAGAGGUUUCCUAUUUCUAAGACUAGGAUGGUCCACCCUCUCACCGAAAACACGUAAAAAUCUUCGAUAAAAUAUAUCAAGCAUCACUGAAAUGCAGCAGUCAUGAAUUGCUUCAUCUGUGCAAAGGUUUAUCAGAUUUGGUUGACCUGUCCCUGUGCUAAUGAGCAGUAUCUCUCGCCUUUGGGUCUUGCCCCUGGGGGCAGGGACACCCUACCCUAGCACCACCACUUAAUGUCAUCUCCAUCUGAAGGCCAAGUGGAGCAGGGGCAACCAGAUGACAGCACACUGAGAGACAGAGUUUCACCAUGUUGGUCAGGCUGGUCUCGAACUCCUGACCUUGUGAUCCACCCGCCUCAGCCUCUCAAAGUGCCGGGAUUACAAGUAUGAGCCACCGUGCCCAGCCACACUUCUAUAUAUGGCAUAGAAUUAUGUGUGCAUCUCCCUCCACCAGCCAGCCGGUAAGUUCCCUGUGAGAAGAGGCUGAGUCUGAUCAGCAUGGAGUCCUUGAUGUGGGCCACGUGCUGGAUGCACAUUAAACAUUUGUGGAAUUCAGCUCCAGAGAGAGCUCUGGGGAAAGUCUGAGCAAGGGGCCCCACACUUGAGCAGGGGAUGCAUCCUGCGUUGUGACCCUGUGGCUGGGCUGAGCUUCCAGGCUCUGGGAGUAAACGUGGUGCAGUGGUGUAGUGGAAAGUCAUGCCCUCGGGUUAAAAGAGCCCCCUCCAACCACCCCGCAUCACAUUCCAGCUUUGCCUUCCAAUGGCUUACUGCAUGCCCCGGGACAAGUCACUUCAUUCAUUCAUUAGUAUAUUUGUUCAGCAUUUAAUGGGCAUUGUGGUGGCUUUAUAGUGUCAACUUACCUAAGCUGAACUACAUGGCCCAGAAUUCCUUUGCCUAGAGGGUCGUGGGUUGGCGGAGUGGUGCGGGAGAGAAAUGUUCACAAGAUUUGGAAGUGGAAGGACAGCACAGCCGUGUUUGCUGUGCUCUGAGGCUGUGCAGGGCAGGCACGCAGCACCUCCCCUAAGCUGGUGCUAAACGCUGGCUUAUCGUGUUGACCCGGAGCAGCUGCAGGCCCACAGGUCAUCCAGCUCCUGGACGAGGUGUGCGGCUCUGGAAUGAAGAUCCCCAGUUUGUCCCUCAGGGCCCUGGCAUCAUAGAGACUGCAGGUGGUGAGAGUCAAAUACCGUUCCAGUUUGUUCUUUAUCUUUCCCACUUCACAUCCAGCCUCUCUCCCUGAGCCGGCCCAGCUAACCUCAGGCCCAGUAGAGACGCAGAGAUAACCUCUUACACAGACCAAGCAACCAUCUCCCACCGUCAAGGAGUUCUGACCCCUGGAGAAACCCCUUAUUCUCUAUGGCUCACUGGAGCUCAGCUUCUGAUGGAACUGCAGUGGAUCCUCUGUGACAGGCACCCUCCUCGUCCAUGGAGAUGGGAAAAUAAGCAAGGUGUCACCCUGCUGGGGCUCAGCUUUCUCAUUUUUACCAGGUGCCGUUGUGAGCUCACCAGCUCCCUCCUUCCCGCCCACCUGCCCCGCUGCAAACAGGGACAGCACAGGAGUCUGCAGUCUCUCCCCUGCCCGCUGUGCGUCUGUACCAGGCUGGCCUCUUCCAAAGUCCUGAUCUGUCCACAAGUUGCUCCUCAGCUUACUGUUAUCUUUGAGCCAUCUGAAGAAGCUGCAAGUUCACUCCAGGCGCUGAAUAGAGGAUCCGGGAGGUCUGGUGCAGACUGUGUUUAGCCCUAAUGAGCGAACCCCUCCUCUGAUCGUGCCAGCUUCCAGGACAGCACUCCAAGACUGUGGUUAUCCUGGACACACUGACUGAAGGCGGAGCUCUUCCCUUCCUGGACCCUGUCUCAGUGGUCCAUGAAGAGAGCCUGGCAGCCGUAGCACCAGCAACCUUCCUUUCGCUCCCCACCUCUCUCUUGUAACCUCUUGAUAAUCCUCCAGCUUCCACUCUUAGCCUGCUGCAUUCAGCUUGGGGAACCUUAAAAUACAGGUUGGGUCCUGGGAAUGACAAGACCCAACCUGUGUUUUAAGGUUCCCCAAGUAUAGUAGAGCUGUGCUUUUGCGUAUUUUAUCUCACUGAUCAGUCACUACCUGAGAAGUAGGUUGUGUUAUUUCCAUUUUACAUAAGAGGUAACAUAGACUUGGGGACAAUAAGUCAUUUCUCAAAAACCACAAAGGUAUUAACUGAAAAGCCAUUAAAAGUUUUUCAAAAGAACAGGUUGUAUUUUUCUGUCUUAAGGAUAUAUGAUAAAAGAUUUGGAUUAAACGUUACAUCCACUGCACAAUCUAUGAUUAAGAAGAGAUUUCCUUAGAAAAGACUGAAUGUUAACAAAACUUUCCCAUUGUACUGAGUGUACUCCUGAUGCUUCAGGUCAAGCCUCCUUGCUGGUUUUUAAAAGUCAGGUUCUUUCCUGUUUCACGGACCUGCCCAGACGGUUGCCUCUGCCUGACGGUUGCCUCUGCCCAGACGGUUGCCUCUGCCUGACGGUUGCCUCUGCCUGACGGUUGCCUCUGCCUGACGGUUGCCUCUGCCCAGACGGUUGCCUCUGCCCAGACGGUUGCCUCUGCCUGACGGUUGCCUCUGCCUGAAACGUCCCUCCUCUCCUCCAACUCAUAUCUCGCUCAAAAGUCUUAUCUAAGGUGAGUUUUCCCCAACUAUUUUUUAUUUUAAUAAAACCAACCACUUUGCAUUUCCCGCCACUCUGUUUGUUCUCUUCAUACAUUCGUUUGUUUGCUGAUGGAUUUAUUGUCUUUCUUCCCACUGGAAAGGCUGGAAACUUCCUGAGGCCGGGACCCGGUCCACCUUGCUCACUGCUAUAACUCAGCCCCUUGCAGAGAGUCCAGAACAUAGUAGGCAUUUAAUAAUUAUUGGUCGUUUUUAUAAACUGCAGCAAGCGUGCUGCAGGAAGGAGCGGGCUGGUGCCAACAUACAUGGGAAUGGUCAAGGAACUGGAAAACUGUCUCCCACUGGGCCUGCCACCCACACCCAAACCCCAGCACUGCUAUUAAGGAUCCACAUGGGCCAGUGACAAGAGGGGGCUGAGGUCAGAGAGGGUACAGCCCAAUAUCUUCCAAGGUAUAGGUUCGAGGGACCCUGGAGGUCUUCAUGUAUUUUUUCUAAUCCACAAAGCCUAUUGGAAAUUAACUCUGAGGUUAAUUUCAAGUGUCUACCGCCUCCUUGGUAGACCUGCUCUAUAAGCAGGUAAGAAGGGUGCUUCCUCCUCUGCCUGCCCUAGUGAAUAUGGCCCGAAGGCUGGACAGCGGGGAAGAGAAGGCUUAGUCACCACUUUUGCAGUGCCAGCAAUGCGAGCCACACUGAUACUAUCCUAGUGUACUUUCUAUUUUCAAGGAACUGGCAUGACUUCUACACAAUUUCCACGAAAAAUGUCUUCUCCACCUGACUCCG
Molecule: long non-coding RNA, 6238 nt
Organism: Callithrix jacchus (white-tufted-ear marmoset)
Lineage: Eukaryota; Metazoa; Chordata; Mammalia; Primates; Cebidae
Source: RefSeq, a predicted model, not a curated record